UACGUGGGUGGCGAGCGUUGUCCGGAUUUACUGGGCGUAAAGGGAGCGUAGGCGGACUUUUAAGUGAGAUGUGAAAUACUCGGGCUCAACUUGAGUGCUGCAUUUCAAACUGGAAGUCUAGAGUGCAGGAGAGGAGAAUGGAAUUCCUAGUGUAGCGGUGAAAUGCGUAGAGAUUAGGAAGAACACCAGUGGCGAAGGCGAUUCUCUGGACUGUAACUGACGCUGAGGCUCGAAAGCGUGGGGAUCAAACAGG
This 253-nucleotide ribosomal RNA is filed under the name uncultured bacterium. RNAcentral's name for it is "partial 16S ribosomal RNA". It matches the Rfam family "Bacterial small subunit ribosomal RNA", at positions 524 to 776 of the family's 1533-position model. The record is from RNAcentral.